ACGGGUGCGUAACGCGUAUGCAACCUACCUCUAUCUGGGGGAUAGCCCGGAGAAAUCCGGAUUAACACCGCAUAAAAUCACAGUACGGCAUCGUACAAUGAUCAAAUAUUUAUAGGAUGGAGAUGGGCAUGCGUGUCAUUAGUUAGUUGGCGGGGUAACGGCCCACCAAGACCGCGAUGACUAGGGGAUCUGAGAGGAUGACCCCCCACACUGGUACUGAGACACGGACCAGACUCCUACGGGAGGCAGCAGUAAGGAAUAUUGGUCAAUGGGGGCAACCCUGAACCAGCCAUGCCGCGUGCAGGAAGACGGCCCUCUGGGUUGUAAACUGCUUUUAUUCGGGAAUAAACCUGCUUACGUGUAGGCAGCUGAAUGUACCGAAGGAAUAAGGAUCGGCUAACUCCGUGCCAGCAGCCGCGGUAAUACGGAGGAUCCAAGCGUUAUCCGGAUUUAUUGGGUUUAAAGGGUGCGUAGGCGGCCUGUUAAGUCAGGGGUGAAAGACGGUAGCUCAACUAUCGCAGUGCCCUUGAUACUGAUGGGCUUGAAUGGACUAGAGGUAGGCGGAAUGUGACAAGUAGCGGUGAA
Molecule: ribosomal RNA, 585 nt
Filed under: Pedobacter sp. BvIRR114
Lineage: Bacteria; Pseudomonadati; Bacteroidota; Sphingobacteriia; Sphingobacteriales; Sphingobacteriaceae
Also listed under: 1 other name
Description: bacterial SSU rRNA
Rfam family: Bacterial small subunit ribosomal RNA
Source: RNAcentral